This 441-nucleotide ribosomal RNA is filed under the name uncultured bacterium. RNAcentral describes it as "partial 16S ribosomal RNA". It matches the Rfam family "Bacterial small subunit ribosomal RNA", at positions 338 to 795 of the family's 1533-position model. The record is from RNAcentral.
CCUACGGGAGGCAGCAGUGGGGAAUAUUGCACAAUGGGGGGAACCCUGAUGCAGCGACGCCGCGUGGGUGAAGGAGUAUUUCGGUAUGUAAAGCCCUAUCAGCAGGGAAGAACAAUGACGGUACCUGACUAAGAAGCACCGGCUAAAUACGUUCCAGCAGCCGCGGUAAUACGUAUGGUGCAAGCGUUAUCCGGAUUUACUGGGUGUAAAGGGAGCGCAGGCGGCGCGUUAAGCCAGGUGUGAAAGGCCGCGGCCCAACCGCGGGACUGCAUUGGGAACUGGCGCGCUGGAGUGCAGGAGGGGUAGGCGGAAUUCCUGGUGUAGCGGUGAAAUGCGUAGAUAUUAGGAGGAACACCAGUGGCGAAGGCGGCUUACUGGACGGUGACUGACGCUGAGGCUCGAAAGCGUGGGGAGCAAACAGGAUUAGAUACCCUUGUAGUC